Molecule: ribosomal RNA, 371 nt
Filed under: uncultured eukaryote
Lineage: Eukaryota
Description: partial 18S ribosomal RNA
Rfam family: Eukaryotic small subunit ribosomal RNA
Source: RNAcentral
CAAUAGCGUAUAUUAAAGUUGUUGCAGUUAAAAAGCUCGUAGUUGAAUUUCUGUCAGGAGUGACCGGGCCUUUGGAUGAACUUCCAUUGUUUUUUGCUCUGUUUGUCAUCUCUAGACAUCCUGAAAUAUUUUUUAAAAAUAUUUCUCUUUUACUGUUAGCAAAAUAGAGUGCUCCAAGCAAAGCGUAGUUUUGAAUACAUUAGAAUGGAAUAAUAAGAUAGGACUUUGGUGCUAUUUUGUUGGUUUGCACACCAAGGUAAUGAUUAAUAGGGACAGUUGGGGGUAUUCGUAUUUAAUUGUCAGAGGUGAAAUUCUUGGAUUUAUGAAAGACGAACUACUGCGAAAGCAUUUACCAAGGAUGUUUUCAUUAA